Stegodyphus mimosarum is the source of this 71-nucleotide non-coding RNA. Lineage: Eukaryota; Metazoa; Arthropoda; Arachnida; Araneae; Eresidae. The record is from Rfam.
GCCUUCGUGGUGUAACGAUAGCACUCUCGGCUCGUAUUCGAGAGGUCCAGGUUCGAGUCCCAGCGAAGGCA